This 254-nucleotide ribosomal RNA is filed under the name uncultured bacterium. RNAcentral describes it as "partial 16S ribosomal RNA". It matches the Rfam family "Bacterial small subunit ribosomal RNA", at positions 524 to 776 of the family's 1533-position model. The record is from RNAcentral.
UACGGGGGGAGCAAGCGUUGUUCGGAUUUACUGGGCGUAAAGGGCGCGUAGGCGGUCAGCACAAGUCAGUUGUGAAAUCUCCGGGCUUAACCCGGAAAGGUCAACUGAUACUGUGCGACUAGAGUGCGGAAGGGGCAACUGGAAUUCUCGGUGUAGCGGUGAAAUGCGUAGAUAUCGAGAGGAACACCUGCGCCGAAGGCGGGUUGCUGGGCCGACACUGACGCUGAUGCGCGAAAGCCAGGGGAGCGAACGGG